RNAcentral lists this non-coding RNA (24 nucleotides) under Cricetulus griseus (Chinese hamster). Lineage: Eukaryota; Metazoa; Chordata; Mammalia; Rodentia; Cricetidae. The record is from RNAcentral.
UGAUAUGCUCCUGGACUACAGAGA